This 1558-nucleotide long non-coding RNA is filed under the name Phoenix dactylifera (date palm). Its description in RNAcentral is "long non-coding RNA (PDAC_LNC003717)". Lineage: Eukaryota; Viridiplantae; Streptophyta; Magnoliopsida; Arecales; Arecaceae. The record is from RNAcentral.
UGCUGUACAUUUCUUUUUCCUGAAACCUGCAUAAUCUUCCACAAGAGAAAAGAAAAUAUCAUUCUAGUGCCAUGGUUCUCAUUUCAGGACCUCCAAAGAGAAACAGAUCAUACUGCCAAUGGAAUGUACAGAAACUACAAUUUUCACUCAGGAUCACAUGUAGAUUGCUCAACAAGCUAUUGGAUUACUAAGUUUGGAUUGCUUUUAGUAAUAGUAUGUUACUUUAGUAAAAUAUGCAUUUCUUUUGAAAUACACCGACAUCAGGUCUGGCAGUGAAUCAAUAGUGGCAAAAAGAAAGAGUUAUUCUAGAAGAAGGCACACAAGUAACUGCCAAAAUUGGUAAGAUGCAAUUAUCUAAACGAUUCGUCAUGCACCAAAGAUUUACCAUCCAGGAUAGAUUCAUUCAUCAUAUGCAAGAAAUGGAAUUAGAUGAUAAUCUGUUUAAAAAGUAAUCCACACCAUCACUCUCUGCAACAAUUCAACAAGAAACACAAAGGUUUAGUGGUUCGGCAGUUGGUUACUGAAUAACUUAUUACAUUGCAAUCCCAACUUUUUAACUUAAGGAGAACUAAGUUUUGCACAUCGGAUUAUACCUUCAAUAAAACUUAAGAAACAGAAAAGAACAGCCAUUUCUAUGAUUUCCUAAUAGUAGAGUAAUUGAGUUAAAAACACUCUGACAACAGAUUGAAGAACAUCUUAGAGAAUGGCUAUAGAGGCCGGGAACCAAUUACGAGUACAAAGAAAACCUGGUUGGGAUGUUUCUGGGAACACAUUGAUACAUAGUAGAAAGGUUUCCCGCUUGCGGCCAUGCAUCACUGACUCAUUAUAACAAGUAAAACAUUAUUCCUUCUUCUGGUGUAGAUAUCUUUUCAUCCUAGUAUUUCUCCAUACUGGCUGCAUUGGUUAUGCUAAAAGAGAUUCUCAAAUAAAUGCAAAGUAUUACUUUUAAGACAUUCUUUGAUCCUUGGGUUUCCAAUUACAUAUUUCUCAUCUGUAAUUAUCCCUGUGCUACAUGAAUUUUGAUUUCUUAAUACAAUCAGCCUAAAUGGCAGACUUCUGUCUCGGAAGCAGUAUGUCAGGGCAAACUAUUGCAAUUGAACUAGAGAAAAUAAAGAAAGAUGCUUAUUUUAUUGUUGAUGUGACUCCAAUGUGUCGACUUGUCAUUAGAUAAAAGGCAGGCUGCUUGUCAGAAUUCACCAUUCUGGAUGGUGUUCUUGGAGAUUUGAAAAACCCAUGUGAAUCGAGAAAUAAAUAAAUUGGACAUGCAAUUGGGACCAGACAGGUUUCUUGGACGCUUUCCAACUCCGGAUCCAACGUAAAAAAUUUAAUUGAAUAAUAGAGGUGGGUUGGGUUAGGAAAGACCUCAAAUUCGAUGGAAAAUAACAGUUCUAGAUGCUUUUCUUGGGGAUUUUAUCCAAAUCUUUAAAUCUCAGAGAAAAUUAAGGUAAAUGGAGAGAAAAUGGAACUUACAGUCGGAGUGGACCAGAGAAGGGUUUUGGAUGCUUUCCGGUUCUUGAUCUCUCGCCAUCUCCCGCCACGUCGAUCUCUCCGCCGUNNN